UCGAACUGGAGAGUUUGAUCCUGGCUCAGAGCGAACGCUAGCGGCGGGCUUAACACAUGCAAGUCGAACGCUUCACUUCGGUGAGG
This 86-nucleotide ribosomal RNA is filed under the name Myxococcales bacterium. Its description in RNAcentral is "partial 16S ribosomal RNA". It matches the Rfam family "Bacterial small subunit ribosomal RNA", at positions 1 to 92 of the family's 1533-position model. Lineage: Bacteria; Pseudomonadati; Myxococcota; Myxococcia; Myxococcales. The record is from RNAcentral.